Non-coding RNA from Cordylochernes scorpioides, 80 nucleotides. Lineage: Eukaryota; Metazoa; Arthropoda; Arachnida; Pseudoscorpiones; Chernetidae. The record is from the annotation of a GenBank genome assembly.
UGUCCAGGGAUGGGAAUCGAACCCACAGUGUUCCUAUUACCGGGCAGAUGCCAUGUCCACUAGACUACCCAUCCCUGGAC